Molecule: long non-coding RNA, 428 nt
Filed under: Aotus nancymaae (Ma's night monkey)
Lineage: Eukaryota; Metazoa; Chordata; Mammalia; Primates; Aotidae
Description: lncRNA (ENSANAG00000039128.1)
Source: RNAcentral
UCUACAUAUACUUAACACUUAUUUUCACAGCUUUGUUUAUUUUCACUAAUUACUUUUCACAGAUAAUCAAUAUGCGUUUCCAAGCCUUUCGGCUAUGUUUGGGUCUUCUGUUCAUCUCAAUUAAUGCAGAAUUUAUGGAUGAUGAUGUUGAGAUGGAAGACUUGGAAGAAAAUUCUAAAGAGAUUGAUGAUAAUGAAGGUGAACUUUCCACAGAGAUAAAAUAUAAGACACCUCAACCUAUAGGAGAAGUAUAUUUUGCAGAAACUUUUGAUAGUGGAAAGUUGGCUGGGUGAGUAUUCAUUUAAGAGAAUGUUUUCUUUGAUUUGUUAGCUUUUUUGAAGUUAUUAGGUUUUGGCCUAUGAAAAUUACCUCUACUACAGAUCUAUAUAAAUUUUAAAAUACUUUAAUUGACAUUGUAAAUCAGUACU